CCCCCCAUAGCUCAGUGGCUAGAGCGUUCGGCUGUAGACCGAAAGGUCCCCGGUUCAAGUCUGGGUGGGGGGA
RNAcentral lists this transfer RNA (73 nucleotides) under Candidatus Woesearchaeota archaeon. Its description in RNAcentral is "tRNA-Tyr". It matches the Rfam family "tRNA". Rfam says of the family: Transfer RNA (tRNA) molecules are approximately 80 nucleotides in length. Their secondary structure includes four short double-helical elements and three loops (D, anti-codon, and T loops). Further hydrogen bonds mediate the characteristic L-shaped molecular structure. tRNAs have two regions of fundamental functional importance: the anti-codon, which is responsible for specific mRNA codon recognition, and the 3' end, to which the tRNAs corresponding amino acid is attached (by aminoacyl-tRNA synthetases). tRNAs cope with the degeneracy of the genetic code in two manners: having more than one tRNA (with a specific anti-codon) for a particular amino acid; and 'wobble' base-pairing, i.e. permitting non-standard base-pairing at the 3rd anti-codon position. RNAcentral also lists the same sequence under 1 other name. The record is from RNAcentral. Lineage: Archaea; Nanobdellati; Candidatus Woesearchaeota.